Molecule: long non-coding RNA, 1692 nt
Organism: Diorhabda carinulata
Lineage: Eukaryota; Metazoa; Arthropoda; Insecta; Coleoptera; Chrysomelidae
Exons: 3
Source: RefSeq, a predicted model, not a curated record
UUUCGUGCAACCGUACAUGAUAGUUACGAGUAUUAUUAAUGUCAUCACGGGUAAAUGUAGCUUAAUCCCUAAAGAGAAUACUCGAUAAAACACGAUGAUUAUUAUUUAUCCACCGACAAAACUCCAUACGGUUAGCGUAAUCCUCUGAUUGUAGGUGCUGUACUAUCUGUACGUGAUAAGGAUAUAAGCGUUGUUUGUGGAGUGUGUUUAUCACCCCUUUUUUUUUGUGGAAUUCCCAAAUGAGUGGCAAUUCUCCGUGAGCUAGUAGUUGUAUCUUCUUCUACUAGAUACAGAAUAUUUUUUACUUCUACCAAACCUUGUCGAGUAGCGCGUUCAGAUGAUAUUAGCACUGGAUAUCUUUGGUGUGGAAAACAUUGACGAUAUUCUUCAGCAGCAGCUGUAGCGUCUUCAUUACAGAAACCACAAAAAAACACCAUAUUUGCAUAUUCUAAAUUUGAAUAAGUAUCUGGCAUUUUCCAACACUAACAAUCACACAAAUUCGAAAUUGAACGUUCAGUUACUGUUCACUGACAGUUCAUUAAAACGUCAGAAUUAUAUCAAAUGCCUUUGAGCCUCGAACAUGUCAUACUUUGAUAAUGUUAAAAUUCAGAUAUAAGUGGAAAACUAGAUGAACAUUUUUAAUUAUUCCAUAACUUGAAAACAAAUGAAAAUCGGAUAAGAACAUAUGAGUUUUUUUACGUUAUUUUCACGUGUGUAAUACACUCCUAGAGUUUGUGAGCUCCUUCCGACUCACCCUGUAUUGUUUAAGGAACGUACUAUUUAAGAGAUUUUUCCCCAGGUUUUUAAGGUCUAGAACUGCUUCAGAAUGGGUAAGUGCUUUGUUCCAGACUGUAAACAUUACAUUCCAAAGCAUCUAUGUAAGUUUUUUCGGUUCCCAAAAAACAAGACCGAGAGGAAUAGAUUUGUGUGAACUUGCAAAAGUAUGCGAUUGUCACUUUUUAAAUAAAGAAAAAAAGAACGGGCCAACUUUAUUUGAUUUCAAUAUGCAGAAGUUUAAUAUAAAAUCACCAGAAAAAAGGUAUGCACUUUUUUUAAGAAGCGAACUGUAAAAAACCUUGUGACUGAGCUACUACCAGGACCUUCAACUGAACCACUACCAGAUCCUUCAACUGAGACACUACCAGGACCUUCAACUGAGCCACUACCAGGCCAAGGCUAGAAUUCAUGUAGAAAGGGGCAUCAGGAGAAUAAAGUUUUAUAAUAUUUUACAGCAAGUUCCAUCAUAUUAUAUAUCACAAAUUUCAAUUAUCUUUUAACUGUGUGUAGCCCUCACAAACUUGCAAUAUCCCCCAAUUAAAGAAAUUGAGGAGUAUUAUUGGUAGGAUCUAUACUGUAGGUUAUUCCGUACUGAAUUGACUAUCCGUAGGAGUUGAACCAAAGUAUGAUAUAUUAUAAUUUUGAGUUUUAAAUAUUUUUUAUUGUAGCAAUAUUUUUCCUCAUUCGACUUUUUUUUGUAAAAAGUUUAGAAAUUUUUAUUUAAAAAAUGUGUAUUUAGAUUUUACUCAAUUUUGAAAUGACAAUUAUUCUUAAAAGUAAUAAUAUUACUGUUUUUCUAAUUUAAUCAAACCCUGUAAAUCCAACAACAAUUUUCAUAAAGUAAAUAAAUACAAUUUGAUUUCUUGUUAGUAGACUACAGUUUUUAUAAUCAUCAAAUAAAUUAUAAAGCCACAA